Molecule: long non-coding RNA, 1010 nt
Organism: Silurus meridionalis
Lineage: Eukaryota; Metazoa; Chordata; Actinopteri; Siluriformes; Siluridae
Exons: 4
Source: RefSeq, a predicted model, not a curated record
GGGGCAAAGCGAAAUAAAUCCAGCGGGAUUUAGGACCGGGAAGCUUCUAACCCCGUCCACAAUGCAUACUAUUGUACUAAAGAGUAGACGAGGAGAGUACGCUAGGAGCGGAUGUGUACUUUUCUGGCGUACUGUUUAGUACAGUAGUGUGUAUGGACCAAGCUGGAGGGACUGAACCUGUUCUGGACCACAGUGAUGCUGGGACUCCGGGUUUCAUCGUUUGUUUUCUUCAUGUUUGUCUUCGUUGUUGAAACGACAGCAAACGAAAGGCCGUAUGCGGUGCUUCAGAAUCAAAAUUUAGUGUUGCUCAUCAGCGUGCUGGCUGUUCUCCUGGUGGCUGUGAUAGUCAUGGCGGUGUGUGUGUACAAGCCGCUGAGAGCUCGGUGACUGAGACGGUGGAGAAUGAAGACCUGAGGAGGAGGACUGGAGGAUCCGAGCGUCAGAUAGACGACUUGACCCUCCUUCGCCCUGCCUCCUGCUUACACGCCGUGGAAGAAACCGCCAUCCAUCUCUUUCCUGCGCUCUGAUUGGAUUAGGACAUGCGGUUUAAAACCCCGCGGUUGCACACGAGGCUAUGUUUAGAAGGUCAUCAGCAUCCACGUUCUGCUCCAUAAUGAGUUAUCUGGUGUUCCAUAAGUGGGUCUGAUGAUGAACGGCAGCAUCAGAAGCGCUUGUGUUUGAAUUGCGCCAUCUGCUGGUCACAGAAGUGAGACACUCGGAGAUUUAAAAAUUAUAUAAUAUAUAUAAAUAAAAUAAAAUCUCCAUCCUUCAAGUCAUAUAAAGUGCUUUUAUUAUUAUUUUAUAUAUGUUACCUUUAACACACUGUACAUUUCUCCACACGCUCAGCUCAGAAAACAGUUAAUUAGCUGCGAAAACUAGCCAGUGAGAAACCCUGAUAUGGUAAAAAAAAAAAAAAAAAUGCAUUAUGUUUGGCAGUUCAUUCCUUUAAAAACCCAAGAAACCACCAGAAAUAAAAAAUGUGACGUUCCUGAACACUGCCUGUAUAACUG